GACAUUGAUGCACUGUGUAAUCAGCCUUCAGUGUGUUUGCAUUUAAUGUAAUGCAUAAGAGUUCUGAUGGUAUGUCCAGUCUUGCAUAUUUUGCCUACACAUGGCUUUAAGAAAUAACAUGUGUUGGCUUAAAUCUGAGGAGGAAGACCAUGAGAAGAUCCAGGCCAGCUGAUGUUGGAGUAUUAGGGAGAGCAUAGUGGGAAAUCCAAAAUGGCGCAAGAACGAGUGUGUCAUUUUCAAACUGCCUGCUCUGAACAUCUGGUCCUAGAGGGAGGAGGGUGACCCUGUCAAUGGGAGCCCUCGUCUCCCCUGUCAACAGCAUGAGAACAGCCCACCACAAGCCUUAGUCCGCCACUGCAAGACACACAAUACCAGAAUGAUGGAACCUUUCCCCAGCACUGACACAGCACUACAACAAAGAUCAUUGCCUGAACUCCUGUCAUCCUGCCUGCACCUCGUGCUCUUGCCUUGCCUGCCUACUACUCACCCCACACUCGUCGCUCAACUCAGCACAGCCACCUUCGUUCACCCCUUACCCUCCACCAUCGCCAGCUGGAAUCAUCAUUUUAUCAUCCUAUGUUAUAUAAUACUGUUUCUUCAGUGAGCAGGAACCUCUGGGUCUGAAAAGUGAAGCCAAUGAAGAAGUGCCCAGCACUCUUUCUAAUGGCAGGAAGGGGGUUACACCACGGGUGGAGAAAAGAUGUGUUGGAUGCAUUCGACUUCAUGCAGUGAUUCACAGAGCUGUGAGAUGCAUGCUGGACUUAACAUUAGGCAGGCUGGUUGGAAAUUAUUUCCAACUUCCACCGGUGCUGUGAAACGUCACCAUGUCACUUGACAUUAGGGAGCAGGGCAGGUUAAUGAAUCUAGCGACCGCAGUUGCUUUGUGUGUGUAAGUGGGAACCAUGUUUUGCUUGAUCUUACAGGAUUUGCCCAGUGUUCUAAUGUCACACACUCUACGGGAAGUUGAAUGUGUUUUUUUGUUUGGUUUUUUUUUUUUUAUUCCCCACAUGCACAGUGCCGGCGGCUCACGUUUGACUGUCACGUCAGCCACAGUCAAAUGUACCUCAUACAGAAGCAUAUGAGAAAAUAACCCUACUCCUAACUUGAUUUAUUACCUCAGUAAAUACUUUCCUAAUGAGUUUAAAGUCUUAGGUCUCUCUUCUUCAUACAAUAGCACAGAUAUUAAUUUUGUAAAUCAUGGUCCCUUUUAGAGGAAAAUAAACGAUAACGCAGGGUA
Long non-coding RNA from Micropterus dolomieu (smallmouth bass), 1237 nucleotides. RefSeq lists it as uncharacterized. The transcript is spliced from 4 exons. The record is from RefSeq and is a predicted model, not a curated record. NCBI's taxonomy places the organism in Eukaryota, Metazoa, Chordata, Actinopteri, Centrarchiformes, Centrarchidae.